GAACGCUGGCGGCGUGCCUAAUACAUUCAAGUCGAGCGAACGGACGAGAAGCUUGCUUCUCUGAUGUUAGCGGCGGACGGGUGAGUAACACGUGGAUAACCUACCUAUAAGACUGGGAUAACUUCGGGAAACCGGAGCUAAUACCGGAUAAUAUUUUGAACCGCAUGGUUCAAAAGUGAAAGACGGUCUUGCUGUCACUUAUAGAUGGAUCCGCGCUGCAUUAGCUAGUUGGUAAGGUAACGGCUUACCAAGGCAACGAUGCAUAGCCGACCUGAGAGGGUGAUCGGCCACACUGGAACUGAGACACGGUCCAGACUCCUACGGGAGGCAGCAGUAGGGAAUCUUCCGCAAUGGGCGAAAGCCUGACGGAGCAACGCCGCGUGAGUGAUGAAGGUCUUCGGAUCGUAAAACUCUGUUAUUAGGGAAGAACAUAUGUGUAAGUAACUGUGCACAUCUUGACGGUACCUAAUCAGAAAGCCACGGCUAACUACGUG
This 494-nucleotide ribosomal RNA is filed under the name uncultured bacterium. RNAcentral's name for it is "partial 16S ribosomal RNA". It matches the Rfam family "Bacterial small subunit ribosomal RNA", at positions 31 to 507 of the family's 1533-position model. The record is from RNAcentral.